GCAGAGACAUAGGCAGAGGGAGAAGAAGCAGGCUCCAUGCACCGGGAGCCCGACGUGGGAUUCGAUCUCGGGUCUCCAGGAUCGCGCCCUGGGCCAAAGGCAGGCGCCAAACCACUGGCCACCCGGGGAUCCCCAGAUGCUAUUUUAAUUUGAAGUAUGACGUUUAAUUUUACUUGAAACUGAAGGAAGAGUUGACUUUCAAGUCAUGUUUCUUGACCACAAUUACCACCUUACUUGUUGAAAGGUACCUCUGAGAGUAAACAAAAAUGGUGAAAAGCAUUAAGAUAUUCAGUCAUUUUUUUUAAAUGAUACAUUUGAAUUGUGUGUGUACGCACACGUGCAUGAUCCUUUCCACUUGCCAAUCUCCCUUGCCCUGCCUCCUGACUUUUGUUACUUAUUUAAUAUUGUUACAUUGUCCAGGAUUAUAAGAAACAUAUUCUGUUCUGUAGAAAUAUAAUUGCAGUUACUUGGUAUACAUUGUAGAUUUAAAUGCAUUCCAAGCCUUUUAUCAAGGAUUCUCCAUUGCAAGCUCUUCAUUUCAAUUCAUCUCUUCAUGGACUGAGUUUCAUCGCUAAGCUGUUUUAUCAAGAAGAGUUUUGGAUGUUUAAGAAUGCCUGCCUGUUGCCUGUACACUGGAACCAGAUCUUGGCCAGGCUCAUGGAACCCCUGCCUCCCUGAGUUGGAAGCAUCUCUGCUCUUCCAAGGUGCUUGUGACCAAAGAAGAUUCUCUGGAAAAAAAAAAUAUGUCAAUUGUUCAGUAACCAGAGAGCUAUGGCCUAAGUGAAGGACUUCAAAUGGUCACAUGGUAGAGAGGCCAGGUGAUGUGCAGCUGGCCAGCCAGCCUUUUCCAGCAUGGCUUUCAGCCCUGAAGGCUGAACGGAUGGGACACAAGCAGGUGAGUGGAAGCCCCACCUGGGGACACACUAGAGAGAUGAGAAGUUAAAAUGUUGUGCUUGUUGGGGAAAAUGUGACCUUCAAAGAUUCGAGAGAGGACACAUGCUUCAUGCUGGCCAAGGCAUUUAAGGAAGUAAGCCAUCAGGACAGGAGACAGCUAACUAGGGAGAAGCAAAUCCACAUGCAGAGUGAUGGUUUUCUUUUGUUUCUUUUUUUAAAGAGAUUUUAUUUAUUCAUGAGAGACACACAGAGAGAGGCAGAGACACAGGCAGAGGGAGAAACGGGCUCCCUAGAGCCUAAUGCGGGACUCGAUCCCAGGACCUCAGGAUCAUACCCUGAGCCAAAGGCAGAUGCUCUACCACUGAGCCACUCAAGAGUCCCCAGAGUGAUGGCUUUCAACUCGGGCCCAGAAGAGCCAUGAAGAAGGGUGGAGAGGAGAAUGGGUCCAGUUGGAGGGGCUGUACCCCCUCCCCACAGACAGCUCCAUUCCAUCUGCCAUAUAUGAUGGGCUUUCACUUCAAGGAAGGGUUCCUCUGCAACUAAAAAUAAGCCUGGAAACCACACCUCUGGUGAGAAUCCAUUCAGAGGGACAAACUGGAUCUGGAAAGGGCUGCUGCUGAAAGGAAUCCAGAGGAAUCAGUGAGUCUGAGUCAAGAUAGCUGAGAGGUAAGGUUUUACCUGCAACCAAGGGGUUGGCCAGGGAAAAUAGAGGCAGGAGUUCAAGGAAACUGACAGAAAUUACUCUAAGUUGAAUUCAGAAUAGAAAUAAAAACAAAUUAGCAAUAAAGAACAGACACACACAAGAAUGAGGCCAUCUGACUGAAGAAUGAAAAUAGAACUAAGGAUCUGGUUAAUGUACAAAACCCAAUCUAGGGACACCUGGGUGGCUCAGUGGUUGAGCAUCUCCCUUUGGUUCAGCUCAUGAUCCUGGGGUCUUUGGAUGAGUCUCGCAUCGGGCUCCCCACAGGGAGCCUGCUUCUCCCCCUGCCUCUGUCUCUGCCUCUCAUGAAUAAAUAAAUAAAAUCUAAAAAAAAAAAAAAAAA
RNAcentral lists this long non-coding RNA (1937 nucleotides) under Canis lupus familiaris (dog). Its description in RNAcentral is "lncRNA (ENSCAFG00845011466.1)". The record is from RNAcentral. Lineage: Eukaryota; Metazoa; Chordata; Mammalia; Carnivora; Canidae.